RNAcentral lists this ribosomal RNA (465 nucleotides) under uncultured bacterium. RNAcentral's name for it is "partial 16S ribosomal RNA". It matches the Rfam family "Bacterial small subunit ribosomal RNA", at positions 28 to 507 of the family's 1533-position model. The record is from RNAcentral.
GAUGAACGCUGGCGGCGUGCUUAACACAUGCAAGUCGAACGGAAAGGCCCCUGUUUGCAGGGGUUCUCGAGUGGCGAACGGGUGAGUAACACGUGAGUAACCUGCCCUGCACUUGGGGAUAACUCGGGGAAACUGGGCCUAAUACCGGAUAGGAUCUCCUCCUGCAUGGUGGGGAGGGAAAGUUUUCGGUGUGGGUUGGGUUCGCGGGCUCUCAGCUGGUUGGGGGGGUAGUGGCGUUCAAAGGCGUCGACGGGUAGCCGGCCUGGGAGGGUGGACGGCCACAUUGGGACUGAGAUACGGCCCAGACUCCUACGGGAGGCAGCAGUGGGGAAUAUUGCACAAUGGGCGCAAGCCUGAUGCAGCGACGCCGCGUGCGGGAUGACGGCCUUCGGGUUGUAAACAGCUUUCGCUUGUGACGAAGCGCGAGUGACGGUACCUGGCGAAGAAGCACCGGCUAACUACGUG